CUUGCUCCUCUGGAUUAGUGGCGAACGGGUGAGUAACACGUGAGCAAUCUGCCCUUGACUCUGGGAUAAGCGCUGGAAACGGCGUCUAAUACCGGAUACGACCCUCGGAGGCAUCUCCUGUGGGUGGAAAGAACUUCGGUCAAGGAUGAGCUCGCGGCCUAUCAGCUUGUUGGUGAGGUAAUGGCUCACCAAGGCGACGACGGGUAGCCGGCCUGAGAGGGUGACCGGCCACACUGGGACUGAGACACGGCCCAGACUCCUACGGGAGGCAGCAGUGGGGAAUAUUGCACAAUGGGCGCAAGCCUGAUGCAGCAACGCCGCGUGAGGGACGACGGCCUUCGGGUUGUAAACCUCUUUUAGCAGGGAAGAAGCGAGAGUGACGGUACCUGCAGAAAAAGCACCGGCUAACUACGUGCCAGCAGCCGCGGUAAUACGUAGGGUGCAAGCGUUGUCCGGAAUUAUUGGGCGUAAAGAGCUCGUAGGCGGUCUGUCGCGUCUGCUGUGAAAACCCGAGGCUCAACCUCGGGCUUGCAGUGGGUACGGGCAGACUAGAGUGCGGUAGGGGAGAUUG
Molecule: ribosomal RNA, 571 nt
Filed under: Agrococcus sp. CH67
Lineage: Bacteria; Bacillati; Actinomycetota; Actinomycetes; Micrococcales; Microbacteriaceae
Description: bacterial SSU rRNA
Rfam family: Bacterial small subunit ribosomal RNA
Source: RNAcentral